UGCGUAGGCGGGCUAAUAAGUCAGUGGUGAAAUCUCUCGGCUCAACCGGGCAACUGCCAUUGAUACUGUUAGUCUUGAGUUCGGUUGAGGUAGGCGGAAUGUGUAAUGUAGCGGUGAAAUGCUUAGAUAUUACACAGAACACCAAUUGCGUAGGCAGCUUACUAGACCGACACUGACGCUGAGGCACGAAAGCGUGGGGAGCGAACAGGAUUAGAUACCCUGGUAGUCC
RNAcentral lists this ribosomal RNA (229 nucleotides) under uncultured bacterium. RNAcentral's name for it is "partial 16S ribosomal RNA". It matches the Rfam family "Bacterial small subunit ribosomal RNA", at positions 568 to 796 of the family's 1533-position model. The record is from RNAcentral.